AUUAACAUAAUGUAGGCGUAAGCGCUUUGACAACAUAGCAGACAUAAAACAGAAAUGAGGAACAGCCGCCAUGUAAAGAUUAUCACUUCACAAGUUGAAAAUUUAGAAGAUUUAAAAAGCCAACUGGAAGCAAUCCAAACCAAUGUUUUAACAGUGAUUGAAAAAGCUGAGCUAUGGAUUCAAGAGAAAGAAAAUGAUUUCACUUUUUUAGAAAUGAGCCGAUUCCUGACAAACGAAACGUCAAAGUUUAUCAUGAAGUGUCAUAAUAUCGCUAGUGACAACAAUGAAUCAGCCAGAGCAAUUUCUACAAGUGGUGUUGCCCUGGAGACUCUCCUCUCUGUGUCAUGCACUAGUAACCGAG
Molecule: long non-coding RNA, 361 nt
Organism: Biomphalaria glabrata
Lineage: Eukaryota; Metazoa; Mollusca; Gastropoda; Planorbidae
Exons: 4
Source: RefSeq, a predicted model, not a curated record